GACGAACGCUGGCGGCGUGCUUAACACAUGCAAGUCGAACGGAAAGGCCCUGCUUCUGUGGGGUGCUCGAGUGGCGAACGGGUGAGUAACACGUGAGUAACCUGCCCUUGACUUUGGGAUAACUUCAGGAAACUGGGGCUAAUACCGGAUAGGAGCUCCUGCUGCAUGGUGGGGGUUGGAAAGUUUCGGCGGUUGGGGAUGGACUCGCGGCUUAUCAGCUUGUUGGUGGGGUAGUGGCUUACCAAGGCUUUGACGGGUAGCCGGCCUGAGAGGGUGACCGGCCACAUUGGGACUGAGAUACGGCCCAGACUCCUACGGGAGGCAGCAGUGGGGAAUAUUGCACAAUGGGCGGAAGCCUGAUGCAGCAACGCCGCGUGCGGGAUGACGGCCUUCGGGUUGUAAACCGCUUUCGCCUGUGACGAAGCGUGAGUGACGGUAAUGGGUAAAGGAGCACCGGCUAACUACGUG
This 468-nucleotide ribosomal RNA is filed under the name uncultured bacterium. Its description in RNAcentral is "partial 16S ribosomal RNA". It matches the Rfam family "Bacterial small subunit ribosomal RNA", at positions 28 to 507 of the family's 1533-position model. The record is from RNAcentral.